UCAAUUCGGCGGCUGCGUCCUUCGAAGGACGCGUUUUAAGGCCGGUGACGUCACAGCGAUGCGCGGAGGCUGUCCCAUUUGGCCAAAAUUUUGAGGAUGCUUAGAAUGCAGCCUUCAAAUGCGUCCUCCUUUUCCCCGAAUUCUGAGGAUGCAUCGCUACCAUCCUUAGUGGCCUCGCCUGCCAUAAGAUUUCCCGAGGUGCUUUGCUCGCUUUUUUUUUUUUAGUAGUUGAAGAAAAAAAAGAAAGAAGGCGGAUUUUCAUCAAGACUGGAAAGCAGCAGCGGCGCUGGCAGUAGUGCUGAGUACAGCUUUAAAUGGAGCAGGGAGCAUACAGAGGAGUUGAUAAAACUCCGUGGGCAAAAUGACCACCUCUUUACCAGGGCCAAAAAUACUGCCACAGUCUGAUGGAGGUAAGAGUUGAGACAUAAUUCCAUAUACAUGUUGCAUUUGUAUGUAAAAGUCACACAAGUUCAAAGAAGUCCUGUUCAAACACCAACGUACAAAUAUAAUCUUUUGAUCACAUCAAAUGAUGCCCAGAUGUCACUUUUUUUAAUCUUAUAGUUGUGAUAGUAGUGAUCCUUGUGUGUUUAUCUCUUCUCAUUUCUCUUGUUUAGAACAAUCCUGCAAAAAACGGGUCUGGAGGGUGAAGUUGAGCCACAACAGGCCAGAAAAAAGUGGGACAACUUGAAAAAAAAAAAUACAAAGGAUGUUCAGGAAUGCAAAGAUCCAGGGACAGGCAGGGGGUCAG
Molecule: long non-coding RNA, 748 nt
Organism: Fundulus heteroclitus (mummichog)
Lineage: Eukaryota; Metazoa; Chordata; Actinopteri; Cyprinodontiformes; Fundulidae
Exons: 3
Source: RefSeq, a predicted model, not a curated record